UACGGGAGGCAGCAGUAGGGAAUCUUCCGCAAUGGACGAAAGUCUGACGGAGCAACGCCGCGUGAACGAUGAAGGCUUUCGGGUCGUAAAGCUCUGUUGUUAGGGAAGAACAAGUACCGGAGUAACUGCCGGUACCUUGACGGUACCUAACCAGAAAGCCACGGCUAACUACGUGCCAGCAGCCGCGGUAAUACGUAGGUGGCAAGCGUUGUCCGGAAUUAUUGGGCGUAAAGCGCGCGCAGGCGGUCCUUUAAGUCUGAUGUGAAAGCCCACGGCUCAACCGUGGAGGGUCAUUGGAAACUGGGGACUUGAGUGCAGAAGAGGAGAGUGGAAUUCCACGUGUAGCGGUGAAAUGCGUAGAGAUGUGGAGGAACACCAGUGGCGAAAGGCGACGUCUCUGGUCUGUAACUGACGCUGAGGCGCGAAAGCGUGGGGAGCGAACAGGGAUUAGAUA
RNAcentral lists this ribosomal RNA (454 nucleotides) under uncultured bacterium. RNAcentral describes it as "bacterial SSU rRNA". It matches the Rfam family "Bacterial small subunit ribosomal RNA", at positions 340 to 784 of the family's 1533-position model. The record is from RNAcentral.